This 276-nucleotide unclassified non-coding RNA is filed under the name uncultured fungus. RNAcentral's name for it is "partial contains 5.8S ribosomal RNA, internal transcribed spacer 2, and large subunit ribosomal RNA". The stretch from base 1 to 52 matches the Rfam family "5.8S ribosomal RNA", at positions 103 to 154 of the family's 154-position model. The record is from RNAcentral. Lineage: Eukaryota; Fungi.
AACGCACAUUGCGCCCGCCAGUAUUCUGGCGGGCAUGCCUGUUCGAGCGUCAUUUCAACCCUCAAGCCCCAGUGGUUUGGUGUUGGGGACCGGCGAUCCUCGCUGCCUUGGCAGUGUUCCGCCGCCCCCGAAAUGAAUUGGCGGUCUCGUCGCGGCCUCCUCUGCGUAGUAGCACAACUUUCGCAACAGGAGCGCGGCGCGGCCACUGCCGUAAAACGCCCAAACUUUUUUUUUAGAGUUGACCUCGAAUCAGGUAGGAAUACCCGCUGAACUUAA